Molecule: ribosomal RNA, 496 nt
Filed under: uncultured bacterium
Lineage: Bacteria
Description: partial 16S ribosomal RNA
Rfam family: Bacterial small subunit ribosomal RNA
Source: RNAcentral
AUGAACGCUGGCGGCGUGCCUAAUACAUGCAAGUCGAGCGAACGGACGAGAAGCUUGCUUCUCUGAUGUUAGCGGCGGACGGGUGAGUAACACGUGGAUAACCUACCUAUAAGACUGGGAUAACUUCGGGAAACCGGAGCUAAUACCGGAUAAUAUUUUGAACCGCAUGGUUCAAAAGUGAAAGACGGUCUUGCUGUCACUUAUAGAAGGAUCCGCGCUGCAUUAGCUAGUUGGUAAGGUAACGGCUUACCAAGGCAACGAUGCAUAGCCGACCUGAGAGGGUGAUCGGCCACACUGGAACUGAGACACGGUCCAGACUCCUACGGGAGGCAGCAGUAGGGAAUCUUCCGCAAAGGGCGAAAGCCUGACGGAGCAACGCCGCGUGAGUGAUGAAGGUCUUCGGAUCGUAAAACUCUGUUAUUAGGGAAGAACAUAUGUGUAAGUAACUGUGCACAUCUUGACGGUACCUAAUCAGAAAGCCACGGCUAACUACGUG